UUAGAGUGCAGAUAGAAAUAUGCUGUAUACUCGUGUAACCGAAUUAAUGUUUAAGUGUCAUUUUAUGGCACAGGCCACGGGGAACGCCGAAAGGCGUUUUUUUAUGUAA
Molecule: non-coding RNA, 109 nt
Submitted as: unclassified sequences
Source: Rfam